CACGUGGGUAACCUGCCUGUAAGACAUGGGAUAACUCCGGGAAACCGGAGCUAAUACCGGAUAGUUCCUUGAACCGCAUGGUUCAAGGAUGAAAGACGGUUUCGGCUGUCACUUACAGAUGGACCCGCGGCGCAUUAGCUAGUUGGUGGGGUAAUGGCUCACCAAGGCGACGAUGCGUAGCCGACCUGAGAGGGUGAUCGGCCACACUGGGACUGAGACACGGCCCAGACUCCUACGGGAGGCAGCAGUAGGGAAUCUUCCGCAAUGGACGAAAGUCUGACGGAGCAACGCCGCGUGAGUGAUGAAGGUUUUCGGAUCGUAAAGCUCUGUUGUUAGGGAAGAACAAGUGCGAGAGUAACUGCUCGCACCUUGACGGUACCUAACCAGAAAGCCACGGCUAACUACGUGCCAGCAGCCGCGGUAAUACUUAUGUGGCA
RNAcentral lists this ribosomal RNA (437 nucleotides) under Bacillus pumilus. Its description in RNAcentral is "bacterial SSU rRNA". It matches the Rfam family "Bacterial small subunit ribosomal RNA", at positions 114 to 536 of the family's 1533-position model. The record is from RNAcentral. Lineage: Bacteria; Bacillati; Bacillota; Bacilli; Caryophanales; Bacillaceae.